UCAUACCAAAAAGGAUGGUUCUCACAUGAAUGUGGAAACUAAACAAAUUAUGGUUAAAGCAAAUGAGAAGUUAGCUGAAUGUGAAAUAGUAGAUGAGGAUAUGCAAAUUGUUGAAACUGAAAUUCUAACACAAGUUAUUGGAAAAGAACGAUGUGGGCAAGUAAGAGUGCUUGGAUUGGGUCCAACACUCAAAACUUAUUAUGGGGGUACGACUAGCAGAACUUCUACUACCUCAAGCGCCCAAUCAAGUGAGUUUGUUGAGCGGUUUAAUCAAAUGGAACAACAAAUGCAACAAUUGAAAGAGGAGCGAGAGCAAGAACGUGCACAACGUGAGGAAGAACGUGCACAAGAAUGUGCUCGAUAUAAUGCUCUUCUUGGGUUUUUACAAACUCGAUAACCUGGAGUUAUUAUCCCUGAGUUGACACAGCUGGCUCAACUUCUCAGUCACAGAAUCAGCCUUCUGGAGAUGAGUAGUGGCAUUCAUCAAGCUAUGGAGGAUUUUUAUUUAUCUUUGUUUUCUUUUGUAUUAUUUGGAGGAA
Dioscorea cayenensis subsp. rotundata (Guinea yam) is the source of this 539-nucleotide long non-coding RNA. RefSeq lists it as uncharacterized. The transcript has 3 exons. Lineage: Eukaryota; Viridiplantae; Streptophyta; Magnoliopsida; Dioscoreales; Dioscoreaceae. The record is from RefSeq and is a predicted model, not a curated record.